UGGUAGUAACAGAGCGAAAAUGGCGUAGAGCGGAGGCUGUGCGGAGACAGGGGACGAGGGGACCUUCUCCUCUCCCGGUUGUGAGGAGAGGGGAAAGAGGGGCCAUGCGGUUUUUUGGUUUAGUCUUCUUUAAGUAUGACCUCACACGGCGCGGUCACUCUAUAUAGAAUGAGCCCGGCAUACGUCCAGUUCGGGAGACCUGGAUGUGUCUCGGUAGAGGAAGAAACCUUGGCUUUUGUUUACCAUGUUGAGCCGCAGCAGCUCGAGCCCCAGAGGAAAUACCUCCGCAUCAUCUCGGACCAACUGUCACACCAAGGAUGGGUUUCCCAUUCAGUGCAGCUGUGAAACCAGCUGAAGCCCCAACCGGAGGAACAUCAGCCCCAGCACCAUCAACGGACCACUUCCACGGCCACCCACGCUUUUGGAGGUAAAGGAUGAAGAGGCAUUGUGAAGAUGACCUCUUUUUGGGGCUUUUGGGACACGAGUGCCCUCCUGGGACAUUGUCUCUCUCUGUCUCCUCCUCUCCUUCUUGCAGCAUGAUCAUUUUUCAGGACAUCGGCCAAGAUUGCGCGCUAGUGUGACUUCCAUCAAGCACACUCUGACUACGUCUACAUGGAGCAAAACGCUGGCUUUGCAGUCACUAAACUGGCUGAAAGGUCGGGGAGCUUGAGUUCUCCGUGUAAUGGCCUGAAAGACUCCAUCAUUUGGGCCUUUUCAGUCAGAUUUGGGUUAGAUUCUUUUCAGUCUGCAUGUAAACGUAGUCACUGAUGCUUUCCUGAGAAGGUAAAAAGAAAAUCCCCCACAUGCUCUACAGUUAGAUCAGAGCAGUUGGACAAACAAACGGCUCCUGUUACCUGGGAAAAGAGUAAUGACGCAACUUACUGUAGCAAAGAUCAAGGCCUGUGAUUAAAUUCAAUUCAUAGGGUGUUUUUUUUUGUUUUUGCACUACCUCAUCGCCCUAACAAAUCCAACAGGAGUGAAUGGGUGCGUGAACGAUAAAAGUAACUUAAUGGUUGUCAAGCGCCACAGCCGUUUUACAUGUUGUUACUGGUUAAAUUUAGUCAAAUAAGGGACGUAGUUGACAGGCGAGCAGGAGCAGCCGGCAGCACAUGAUUCAACCAUUUUGAGGAAAAUGUCGACUCACUCAAACUGGUCCCCUAUGCAUCUGUUCCAAAGGAAGGUCGCAAGAUAGUAUUUUUACUCCACAAU
Long non-coding RNA from Etheostoma cragini (Arkansas darter), 1209 nucleotides. RefSeq lists it as uncharacterized. Lineage: Eukaryota; Metazoa; Chordata; Actinopteri; Perciformes; Percidae. The record is from RefSeq and is a predicted model, not a curated record. The transcript is spliced from 2 exons.